Molecule: ribosomal RNA, 546 nt
Filed under: uncultured bacterium
Lineage: Bacteria
Description: partial 16S ribosomal RNA
Rfam family: Bacterial small subunit ribosomal RNA
Source: RNAcentral
UGGGGAAUAUUGCACAAUGGGCGAAAGCCUGAUGCAGCAACGCCGCGUGAGUGAUGAAAGGCCUUCGGGUUGUAAAGCUCUGUCUUUUGGGACGAUAAUGACGGUACCAAAGGAGGAAGCCACGGCUAACUACGUGCCAGCAGCCGCGGUAAUACGUAGGUGGCAAGCGUUGUCCGGAUUUACUGGGCGUAAAGGAUGCGUAGGCGGAUUUUUAAGUGAGAUGUGAAAAACCCUAAAGCUUAACUUGGGGACUGCAUUUCAUACUGGAAAUCUAGAGUGCGGGAGAGGAGAAUGGAAUUCCUAGUGUAGCGGUGAAAUGCGUAGAGAUUAGGAAGAACACCAGUGGCGAAGGCGAUUCUCUGGACCGUAACUGACGCUGAGGCAUGAAAAGCGUGGGUAGCAAAACAGGAUUAGAUACCCUGGUAGUCCACGCCGUAAAACGAUGAGUGCUAGGUGUAGGAGGUAUCGACCCCUUCUGUGCCGCAAGUUAACACAAAUAAGUACUCCGCCUGGGAAGUACGAUCGCAAGAUUAAAAACUCAAAAGG